UUGUCACCCGGAGUUUCCCUGAUCACUUCAUUGGCAUCGAUCUGUAUUCACUCAUUCAUGCACACAUCCAAUGCCACUGAAGUGUUUGGGGGAACUCUAGUCGCCAC
RNAcentral lists this microRNA precursor (107 nucleotides) under Rosa chinensis. RNAcentral describes it as "sRNA RchiOBHm_Chr4g0440301". It matches the Rfam family "mir-395 microRNA precursor family". Rfam says of the family: mir-395 was identified in both Arabidopsis thaliana and Oryza sativa computationally and was later experimentally verified. mir-395 is thought to target mRNAs coding for ATP sulphurylases. Lineage: Eukaryota; Viridiplantae; Streptophyta; Magnoliopsida; Rosales; Rosaceae. The record is from Rfam by way of RNAcentral.